Molecule: transfer RNA, 88 nt
Filed under: bacterium
Lineage: Bacteria
Also listed under: 4 other names
Description: tRNA-Ser
Rfam family: tRNA
About the family: Transfer RNA (tRNA) molecules are approximately 80 nucleotides in length. Their secondary structure includes four short double-helical elements and three loops (D, anti-codon, and T loops).
Source: RNAcentral
GGAACGGUGGCAGAGCGGCCGAAUGCACCUGUCUUGAAAACAGGAGACCUGCAAGGGUCCGCAGGUUCAAAUCCUGCUCGUUCCGCCA